This 426-nucleotide ribosomal RNA is filed under the name uncultured bacterium. Its description in RNAcentral is "bacterial SSU rRNA". It matches the Rfam family "Bacterial small subunit ribosomal RNA", at positions 506 to 930 of the family's 1533-position model. The record is from RNAcentral.
GGCCAGCAGCCGCGGUAAUACAGAGGUGGCUAGCGUUGUUCGGAAUUACUGGGCGUAAAGGGAGCGCAGGCGGCCAAAUUAGUCUGAAGUGCAAGCCCGGGGCUCAACCCCGGAAUUGCUUUGGAUACUGUUUGGCUUGAGUAUGUCAGAGGUGAGCGGAAUUCCAGGUGUAGCGGUGAAAUGCGUAGAUAUCUGGAGGAACAUCGGUGGCGAAAGCGGCUCACUGGGACAAAACUGACGCUGAGGCUCGAAAGCGUGGGGAGCGAACGGGAUUAGAUACCCCGGUAGUCCACGCUGUAAACGUUGUGCACUAGGUGUGAGGGGUGUCUACCCCCUUCGUGCCGUAGCUAACGCAUUAAGUGCACCGCCUGGGGAGUACGGUCGCAAGACUGAAACUCAAAGGAAUUGACGGGGGCCCGCACAAGC